GGCUGAGUAGCUCAGCCGGCUAGAGCACGUCAUUCGUAAUGAGAGGGUCGGGGUUCGAGUCCCUCCCCUGCAGCCA
Molecule: transfer RNA, 76 nt
Filed under: Beijerinckia indica subsp. indica ATCC 9039
Lineage: Bacteria; Pseudomonadati; Pseudomonadota; Alphaproteobacteria; Hyphomicrobiales; Beijerinckiaceae
Description: tRNA-Thr-CGT-2-1
Source: RNAcentral